This 350-nucleotide ribosomal RNA is filed under the name uncultured Nitrospirota bacterium. Its description in RNAcentral is "bacterial SSU rRNA". It matches the Rfam family "Bacterial small subunit ribosomal RNA", at positions 27 to 368 of the family's 1533-position model. The record is from RNAcentral. Lineage: Bacteria; Pseudomonadati; Nitrospirota.
GAACGAACGCUGGCGGCGCGCCUAAUACAUGCAAGUCGAACGAGAAUGUGUAGCAAUACACAUGUACAGUGGCGAACGGGUGAGGAUUACAUGGGUAACCUACCCUCGAGUGGGGAAUAACUAGCCGAAAGGUUAGCUAAUACCGCGUACGCUUCCCGGACUGCGGUUCGGGAAGGAAAGCGAUACCGUGGGUAUCGCGCUCUUGGAUGGGCUCAUGCCCUAUCAGCUUGUUGGUGAGGUAACGGCUCACCAAGGCUUCGACGGGUAGCUGAUCUGAGAGGAUGAUCAGCCACACUGGCACUGCGACACGGGCCAGACUCCUACGGGAGGCAGCAGUAAGGAAUAUUGCG